Molecule: ribosomal RNA, 195 nt
Filed under: uncultured bacterium
Lineage: Bacteria
Description: partial 16S ribosomal RNA
Rfam family: Bacterial small subunit ribosomal RNA
Source: RNAcentral
UGCAACUCGACUCCGUGAAGCUGGAUUCGCUAGUAAUCGCGAAUCAGAAUGUCGCGGUGAAUACGUUCCCGAGCCUUGUACACACCGCCCGUCACACCAUGAGAGUCGAUAACACCCGAAGCCUGUGAGCUAACCGCAAGGAGGCAGCAGUCGAAGGUGGGGUUGAUGAUUGGGGUGAAGUCGUAACAAGGUAAC